CCCUUAGAUGUUCUGGGCCGCACGCGUGCUACACUGAUGCAUUCAACGAGUCUAAAACCUGGUCUGAUAGGGCUGGGUAAUCUUUUGAAAGUGCAUCGUGAUUGGGAUAGAUGAUUGCAAUUCUUCAUCUUCAACGAGGAAUGCCUAGUAAACGCAAGUCAUCAGCUUGCAUUGAUUACGUCCCUGCCCUUUGUACACACCGCCCGUCGCUCCUACCGAUUGAAUGAUCCGAUGAAUACCAUGGAUUGAGAGUACGAAUAGGUUCGCAUAUUUCUGCUGCUCGAGAAGUGGAGUAAAUCUUAUCAUUUAGAGGAAGGAGAAGUCGUAACA
This 330-nucleotide ribosomal RNA is filed under the name uncultured eukaryote. RNAcentral's name for it is "partial 18S ribosomal RNA". It matches the Rfam family "Eukaryotic small subunit ribosomal RNA", at positions 1470 to 1796 of the family's 1831-position model. The record is from RNAcentral.